Molecule: ribosomal RNA, 982 nt
Filed under: Staphylococcus aureus
Lineage: Bacteria; Bacillati; Bacillota; Bacilli; Caryophanales; Staphylococcaceae
Description: partial 23S ribosomal RNA
Rfam family: Bacterial large subunit ribosomal RNA
Source: RNAcentral
UCAGAGCCCGUUAAUGGGUGAUGGCGUGCCUUUUGUAGAAUGAACCGGCGAGUUACGAUUUGAUGCAAGGUUAAGCAGUAAAUGUGGAGCCGUAGCGAAAGCGAGUCUGAAUAGGGCGUUUAGUAUUUGGUCGUAGACCCGAAACCAGGUGAUCUACCCUUGGUCAGGUUGAAGUUCAGGUAACACUGAAUGGAGGACCGAACCGACUUACGUUGAAAAGUGAGCGGAUGAACUGAGGGUAGCGGAGAAAUUCCAAUCGAACCUGGAGAUAGCUGGUUCUCUCCGAAAUAGCUUUAGGGCUAGCCUCAAGUGAUGAUUAUUGGAGGUAGAGCACUGUUUGGACGAGGGGCCCCUCUCGGGUUACCGAAUUCAGACAAACUCCGAAUGCCAAUUAAUUUAACUUGGGAGUCAGAACAUGGGUGAUAAGGUCCGUGUUCGAAAGGGAAACAGCCCAGACCACCAGCUAAGGUCCCAAAAUAUAUGUUAAGUGGAAAAGGAUGUGGCGUUGCCCAGACAACUAGGAUGUUGGCUUAGAAGCAGCCAUCAUUUAAAGAGUGCGUAAUAGCUCACUAGUCGAGUGACACUGCGCCGAAAAUGUACCGGGGCUAAACAUAUUACCGAAGCUGUGGAUUGUCCUUUGGACAAUGGUAGGAGAGCGUUCUAAGGGCGUUGAAGCAUGAUCGUAAGGACAUGUGGAGCGCUUAGAAGUGAGAAUGCCGGUGUGAGUAGCGAAAGACGGGUGAGAAUCCCGUCCACCGAUUGACUAAGGUUUCCAGAGGAAGGCUCGUCCGCUCUGGGUUAGUCGGGUCCUAAGCUGAGGCCGACAGGCGUAGGCGAUGGAUAACAGGUUGAUAUUCCUGUACCACCUAUAAUCGUUUUAAUCGAUGGGGGGACGCAGUAGGAUAGGCGAAGCGUGCGAUUGGAUUGCACGUCUAAGCAGUAAGGCUGAGUAUUAGGCAAAUCCGGUACUCGUUAAGGCUGA